Molecule: ribosomal RNA, 253 nt
Filed under: uncultured bacterium
Lineage: Bacteria
Description: partial 16S ribosomal RNA
Rfam family: Bacterial small subunit ribosomal RNA
Source: RNAcentral
UACGGAGGGGGCUAGCGUUGUUCGGAAUUACUGGGCGUAAAGCGCACGUAGGCGGCUUUGCAAGUUAGAGGUGAAAGCCCAGGGCUUAACCCUGGAAUUGCCUUUAAGACUGCAUCGCUAGAAUUGUGGAGAGGUAAGUGGAAUUCCGAGUGUAGAGGUGAAAUUCGUAGAUAUUCGGAAGAACACCAGUGGCGAAGGCGACUUACUGGACACAUAUUGACGCUGAGGUGCGAAAGCGUGGGGAGCAAACAGG